This 624-nucleotide ribosomal RNA is filed under the name Triticum aestivum (bread wheat). Its description in RNAcentral is "partial small subunit ribosomal RNA". Lineage: Eukaryota; Viridiplantae; Streptophyta; Magnoliopsida; Poales; Poaceae. The record is from RNAcentral.
AUGACUUGCAUGAUGGAGGCUGCGGAAUUUCGCCCUUGGUCAGAUCUUCCGCCAGAACUCCUGGGACUUGUUCUCAAGUGCCUCCCUUCCCUAGCUGACCGUUUUCGUCUAAGAGUUGUCUGCCACCCAUGGCGCUCUAAUAGUAUGUUGCAACCCCUUCCACUCCCAUUUCCAUGGCUCACUCUCCCCGAUGGUACUUUCCUCAGCAUUCCAAGCGGUGAGAUACAGCCCAUAUGUUUACCAGAAGGUGCGUGUUGCCAGGGCUCCAUUGGAAACUGUCUAUUCCUCACGCACAAUGAUGAUGUGUGCUACUUGAUGAACCCUUUCUCCAACACUAGGUUGGAGCUUCCUAAGCUAGCCAAAGUAUGGAAACAUGAAAUGUUUGAUCCCGACUCUAGAUUUAGUCCAAUUUUCUACAAGUUGGUGGUGCCCUUUCCCCUUGACUCAUCUCCCUGUUCCCUUGUUGCUGCACUGAUCAUGGACGAUGGUAAUUGCGGUACACUUUGUAUUAGCAACCCACCGAUUGUCACUGAGUCGUUCAGAGACGAUGAGCAUCCAGUUCUGGAGCUCCAGGAUGUUGCAUUCUUUGAUGGAAAGUUGUACGCGUUGGUAUUUCAUUCAUGA